CGUCGGCUGACGGCGGAACAAUCGGCUUCACCGUCUUUUAUUCUCUUUGAAUCGUGAGUUCAAACGGCGGCACGUCUCCUCGUGGCGUCGACAGAUCUCGCUGAAUUCCCGAUGGAGUCUGCGUGGAGGAGAAGAAGGGGGUGGGGGGGCGUCUCCAUCGUCUUGUUCGGAUCAGAAAAGCUUUUACGGCGGCGGCGUUCAACUGUCAUGUGAACACAAAGCUGCUCUGUGAUCCGACGGCUCACCUGAUUGAACCAGACGCCUCAUCAGACGGCGAAGGUGAGACUGAGAGAGGAUCAGCUGCUCCGAACGUCUUCAUUUAAAGCCGAGAGAGAGAAAAAAGAGACAGGAACCAAAAACAGCUCAGCGCUCCGGAUCACCUCCUGAAGGAAGGAGCAGCAGGAGCAGGAAGUGCUCCACUCUUCUUCUUCGGUAACGAUUCAGAGUUUCACUCCACCAACUUUGUUCACAUUUUCUCCUGAGUUAAAAAAUAAACUUUAGGGGAUCAAUAAAAACUGAUCAAUAAUGUUUGUCUUAUUGAUCGACCUUAGUACUAUUAUUUUAAAUCAAUUUUAGGUCUUUUGGUCACAUGACAGUGAAGCUAUUGAAGGAAAACAGCCUUUUCUGAGAACAUCAACCGGUAAUUUAUUGACGGUCCCUUAUUCAACACCGACGUUGACAGUGAGGGUGUCGAGUAGAUUUAACCGCGCUGCUGUUGUUAUUCCCGGUUAUGGAGAGUGAGAAGACACCGGUAGAUCCUCAGAGAAUGUCCGUCAGAUAUCCAACCUGAAACUAACUUCACCGCUGUAUUUACAGGAAAAUAUAUCCAACCUAAAACUAACUUCACCGCCGUAUUUACAGGAAAAUAUAUCCAACCUGAAACUAACUUCACCACCGUAUUUACAGGAAAAUAUAUCCAACCUGAAACUAACUUCACCGCCGUAUUUACAGGGAAAUAUAUCCAACCUGAAACUAACUUCACCACCGUAUUUACAGGAAAAUAUAUCCAACCUGAAACUAACUUCACCGCCAUAUUUACAGGGAAAUAUAUCCAACCGGAAACUAACUUCACCGCCGUAUUUACAGGAAAAUAUAUCCAACCUGAAACUAACUUCACCGCCGUAUUUACAGGAAAAUAUAUCCAACCUAAAACUAACUUCACCGCCGUAUUUACAGGAAGAUAUAUCCAACCUAAAACUAACUUCACCGCCGUAUUUACAGGAAAAUAUAUCCAACCUGAAACUAACUUCACCGCCGUAUUUACAGGAAAAUAUAUCCAACCUGAAACUAACUUCACCGCCGUAUUUACAGGAAAAUAUAUCCAACCUGAAACUAACUUCACCGCCGUAUUUACAGGAAAAAAAACGUUUGUUGUUUUUUUUUUUAUUCACACAUGUGACCCUGAAUACAUUUGAGAAUUCACACACUUCUAUUUUUAGUCGCAGUAAAACAGUUGCACUGUGGAGACCUGAUCUGAGUGGAGGACAAAAAGUUUCAUGAAUCAAACCACGUUAAAAAAGUGUUCAGAUAGAAACUUUAAAAACUGAACGUAGACUGGACUCGGUUUAUCGCAUCCUUAAAGGAUCGCCGCUCAUCCGUCUGUCUUUGGUCAGUCUCAGCUUCACUGUAAACACUCACACAGAGGAUUCACUCUGGAUUCAUUCAGCAGAAUUAAAUCAAACUGAAACUUUAACUGAUUUUCCUCUGAUUUACAGGCGACUAUCAGGUCUUCAUUGGUGUCCGUCCUUCUCUCUGUGGUGAGUCUCAGUUUCACUGUGAACAGUCAGUUUCUUUAAAGCUUCACUUAGUGGUAAAAACCUGAAAAAGACUGAUUCUGUUUCUUACAUUUAACAGGCUGAGGUCUGCCCCAGUUCACUGUUGGUGGUAAGUCUCAGUUUUAUUGUAAAUAGUUACACAGAGGAUUCACAUUGUCUGUUUGUAUGAAGUCUCAGUUUCACUGUGAAAACCUCGCUCAGCUUCACUUCAGCCAAAUGAGAUUAAAAAAAGAAAAACAUGAAAUAAACGAGGUUUAAGUUAGUCCAGAUUAAACCGGGACCCAAAGUCUCAGUUUGACUGUAAAUGACAUCAAGAGCUUCACUGCAGCAGGACUGACCUGAAAACCAAACCCUGAUUUUAGUUUGUAGAAAUAACAGAAGUUCAUGUUUGAGAGGAGGGAACAGAUUUGAGUUUUUAUCAGAACAAAAUUCAACCAGAAAUAAACCUGCUCUCAGUUUUACAGCGGUGUAAUAUACAGAAUGACCAGCAGGGGGCACCACACUUCUUUACAGAGCUUUGUAAAGCUUCUCUCAG
Molecule: non-coding RNA, 2310 nt
Organism: Xyrichtys novacula (pearly razorfish)
Lineage: Eukaryota; Metazoa; Chordata; Actinopteri; Labriformes; Labridae
Source: the annotation of a GenBank genome assembly